UCUGGGACAAGCCCUGGAAACGGGGUCUAAUACCGGAUGAUACUUCUUCCCGCAUGGGGGGAGGUUGAAAGCUCCGGCGGUGCAGGAUGAGCCCGCGGCCUAUCAGCUUGUUGGUGGGGUGAUGGCCUACCAAGGCGACGACGGGUAGCCGGCCUGAGAGGGCGACCGGCCACACUGGGACUGAGACACGGCCCAGACUCCUACGGGAGGCAGCAGUGGGGAAUAUUGCACAAUGGGCGAAAGCCUGAUGCAGCGACGCCGCGUGAGGGAUGACGGCCUUCGGGUUGUAAACCUCUUUCAGCAGGGAAGAAGCGAAAGUGACGGUACCUGCAGAAGAAGCGCCGGCUAACUACGUGCCAGCAGCCGCGGUAAUACGUAGGGCGCAAGCGUUGUCCGGAAUUAUUGGGCGUAAAGAGCUCGUAGGCGGCUUGUCACGUCGGAUGUGAAAGCCCGGGGCUUAACCCCGGGUCUGCAUUCGAUACGGGCAGGCUAGAGUGUGGUAGGGGAGAUCGGAAUUCCUGGUGUAGCGGUGAAAUGCGCAGAUAUCAGGAGGAACACCGGUGGCGAAGGCGGAUCUCUGGGCCAUUACUGACGCUGAGGAGCGAAAGCGUGGGGAGCGAACAGGAUUAGAUACCCUGGUAGUCCACGCCGUAAACGUUGGGAACUAGGUGUUGGCGACAUUCCACGUCGUCGGUGCCGCAGCUAACGCAUUAAGUUCCCCGCC
This 724-nucleotide ribosomal RNA is filed under the name Actinomycetes bacterium. RNAcentral's name for it is "bacterial SSU rRNA". It matches the Rfam family "Bacterial small subunit ribosomal RNA", at positions 137 to 873 of the family's 1533-position model. The record is from RNAcentral. Lineage: Bacteria; Bacillati; Actinomycetota; Actinomycetes.